Molecule: small nuclear RNA, 97 nt
Filed under: Jaculus jaculus (lesser Egyptian jerboa)
Lineage: Eukaryota; Metazoa; Chordata; Mammalia; Rodentia; Dipodidae
Source: RNAcentral
UUGUGGCUACAGAAAUACUAAAAUUGUAAUGAUACAGAGAUUAGCACAACUUCUGUGUGAGGAUGACACACAAAUUUGUUAUGUGUUUCAUAUUUGG